GAGAGAGAGAAACAUAUAUUAUAUAUUAUAUAGAGAGAGGGAGGAGAGCGAGAGAGAGUGAGGACACCGAACUGGGCUGGCGGCUCCAAAGCACAGCCUUCCCUGUUCCGUCCCAGCGGGAGCUGGUGUUAGGGGUCCCAAGGUUGCCACCCACGUGCCCAGCUGUCCCACGCUGCAGCGCAGACGGCCACGCCCACACCCGGCCUUUUAGCUCAGGUCCACCAUGGGGGACGGCCCAGCGUGGGUGGGGGUGCCAGAGGGUCCCGAGUGGGGGCCGUGCCUUUGCCCAGACCCUGCACUUUCAACCAGGCCAGUCCGGCUCUGGGGAGCAGGGGCCUCCCCGGCAACAGCCCCAGGGGCCUUGAGGGUCUGAGGUCCCAGCCCUGUUGCCAAGUGACCUUGUCCCCAGCUCCCUCCUCCCAGGCUGGUGUGAGUGUGCGUGCGUUUGUGCCGAGCUUCUAUUUCAUAUUGCAAAUAUAAAUAAAGGAAGGCAGUUUACGAUUCUGCUGGUCAGACCUUACGUUCUGGGAUGCGGGGUGGGGAGCCUGUAUUAUCCCUGCACCCCAGAGGCUGGGGGUGCUCCUGACCCAGUCUGCCCCCACACUGUCCUGCCAGAGGGAGCCCUGUGGCUGCAGAGGCCCCAGGCUGGGCCAGGCACUGGCUGUGAGGGCUCCUGCCAGGUCUACCCCACCUGUGGGCAGGGCCUUGGGCAGAGGAUAGAAGCCACCGACAGGCUCAAAUCCCUGCUCCUGCCCCUGCUUACCCCCAGUAACCAAGCCCAGCAUUGAGGCUGGGUACUGGCGCCCAGUAGGUCUGAGUCUUUCAGGUAGAAGGUAGAAGUGUAGGCUGCGUGUGCAGCGAGUGGCACCGGUGAGCGGCGCUGGGAAACCGGAGCGUGUGGACCGGGCCAUGAGGACAGCGUCCUCACUGGGGUGGCAGUUGGCUUGGAGGUCACCUGGGGGCUCGCUCAGCUAACAGGAGAGGGUGCUUGUUCCCCGCAUUCGUGGUGGUCCCUCCUGGUCACCCAUUGAAGCAGUGUUUGUGGUGGAGCCCCUGAGGGCUUGGUGGGGUUGAGCAGAAUGAGGAAAGGUUUCAUGGAGCAGGGAGGGAGACGGCUAGGGCAGCAAGUGAAGGACAGACUCGCCUUCCCAUCCCUCCAGGGGCACUCCUGCCAGCCAGCCCCUCUCCCGCUUCCCAUGAUGGGGUGGCUGUUGGAAUUCUGCACCCCAUCUCUUCUGAUUGUUGGGGCCCAGGACAAGGGGACAGGCAUUUGUGGGCCUAACCUCCCCAGGCAGAUAGGAGGAGGAAGCCAUGUCCCAGCAGGCUAGGGCAGAGGGACCCCCAGUGCCAACAGUGCUUUAUCAGCGGGCGCCAGGCAGGGCCAUCCCCAGGGUGAGGACAACAUCUCCCUGGGCCCUGUUAUCAGUCACAGAGUCCACAGGACGCUCCUUGGGUUAACGUGUAACCAUGAGCCCUCCCCUCCACCCCCUGAAGCCACUCGCUCCCAGAUUAGGUCGCUCUGGGGCUAUCAGGCCAGCAUGGACGCUGGCAAAGCGGGGCAGACCCUGAAGACUCACUGCUCAGCCCAGGUGAGAGCCUUCUGAGCUGUGCCUGGGGCUGGGGGGACAGGGCCCUGGAACCCCAGCAGCCGGCGGGUCUGGGAGCUGCUGUCCUUGAGUUGGUUGGGCCCUGGGAAGCUGGGUUCUGGCAGCCUGGUCCCUGAAUGGGUCCAGCCUGUACAGCUGGGGUCCCAGGUGGGGGUGGGACAGGAGCCAUGAGAUCUGAGUCCCAAGAAUGGGGGCUGGGCUGGGUUUCGGCUCAGUAGCUCCCCACUCCCCAAAGCGCCCAGAUGUCUGCAGGUGGCUGAGCCCCUUCAUCCUCUCCUGCUGCGUGUACUUCUGCCUCUGGAUUCCCGAGGACCAGCUGUCCUGGUUCGCUGCCCUGGUCAAGUGCCUGCCCGUCCUCUGCCUGGCUGGGUUCCUGUGGGUCAUGUCCCCAAGCGGGGGCUACACCCAGCUCCUCCAGGGAGCCCUUGUGUGCUCGGCUGUGGGGGACGCUUGCCUCAUCUGGCCGGCAGCCUUCGUCCCUGGUGAGUGGAAGGUGCUGUGACGCUUUCCAGAUGCCCGUGUGAGAGAGGCCCCAGCACUUGGAUGGGAGCCUGGGUGCAGAGGGCUCCUGUGAGAGCUCCAGUGGUCAAAGGCACAGUGGGGGGCGCAGCCGUGACCGAGGCAGCUCACGCUCCAGCGAGGGGUGGGGGCAGGCGGUGUUAGGGCAGUAGCUGAGGUGGCGCAGAGGGCAGUGAGGACCUGCUGGAGGUACUGCAGUUUGAAGCAGGGUUGCUGAGGAAGGCCUCACUGAGGAAGUCACAUUUGGGCAGAGCUGAAGGGCUGUAUGCCUGUGUGGAGGAAGGGCGAGUGUAAAGGCUCCGGGGCAGGGACGUGUCAGGUGCUUGUAGCCCAGCAGGCCAGGGUGGCUGGCGCAGAGUGGCUGGAGAGCUGGAGGCCAUGGGGCUUUGGAGGCCAAGGGAAGGUGGGGCCUCCUGGCAGUUCUGAGCAGAGCAAGGAUGGACACUGCAUGUGGGGAGACCUGCAAGGAGGCUCGGCCAGGGUGGGGCCUGGUGCUCUGGGAUGGUCCUUCUCUUAGGCCCUGAGGGGUGACCUCGGGGCCAUUCCCAGGAUGGGCCUUCCUCACUGGUACCCCACCCCUCUCCCGCCAGGCAUGGCCGCCUUUGCCACCGCCCACCUCCUCUACGUCUGGGCCUUCGGCUUCUCUCCCCUGCAGCCCGGCCUGCUGCUGCUCAUCAUCCUGGCCCCUGGCCCCUACCUCAGCCUUGUGCUCCAGCACCUCGAGCCGGAUAUGGUCCUGCCGGUGGCAGCCUAUGGGCUGAUCCUGAUGGCCAUGCUGUGGCGCGGCCUGGCCCAGGGCGGGAGUGCCGGCUGGGGCGCGCUGCUCUUCACGCUCUCUGAUGGCGUGCUGGCCUGGGACACCUUCGCCCAGCCCCUGCCCCAUGCCCACCUGGUGAUCAUGACCACCUACUAUGCUGCCCAGCUCCUCAUCACAC
Molecule: long non-coding RNA, 3061 nt
Organism: Homo sapiens (human)
Lineage: Eukaryota; Metazoa; Chordata; Mammalia; Primates; Hominidae
Source: Ensembl